This 187-nucleotide ribosomal RNA is filed under the name uncultured Bacillota bacterium. RNAcentral describes it as "uncultured Firmicutes bacterium partial 16S ribosomal RNA". It matches the Rfam family "Bacterial small subunit ribosomal RNA", at positions 346 to 524 of the family's 1533-position model. Lineage: Bacteria; Bacillati; Bacillota. The record is from RNAcentral.
AGGCAGCAGUAGGGAAUCUUCCGCAAUGGACGAAAGUCUGACGGAGCGACGCCGCGUGAGCGAAGAAGGUCUUCGGAUCGUAAAGCUCUGUUGUUAGGGAAGAAGAAGUGCCGUUCGAACAGGGCGGCACGGUGACGGUACCUAACGAGAAAGCCCCGGCUAACUACGUGCCAGCAGCCGCGGUAAU